UUAAGCGAAGAAGAGCGCAGGGUGGAUGCCUUGGCACUGAGAGCCGAUGAAAGACGUGAUAAGCUGCGAAAAGCCAUGGGGAGGUGCAAAUGACCCUUGAUCCAUGGAUAUCUGAAUGGGGAAACCUACAUGAGCAUACCUCAUGUGGCCUGUACUGAAUCCAUAGGUGCAGGCCGGGAACCCGGUGAACUGAAACAUCUAAGUAGCCGGAGGAAGAGAAAGAAAAUAUUCGAUUUCCAAAGUAGCGGCGAGCGAAAUGGAAAGAGCCCAAACCGGUGUGCGUGCACACCGGGGUUCGGACUGCAUGACUGAUCCACGAUCCCAGCAGAACGGUACUGGAAAGACCGGCGGUAAAGGGUGAGAGCCCCGUAAGCGAAGGGAGAAGGGACAGGGCAGUAUCCAGAGUACUACGAGACACGAGAAACCUUGUAGGAAUGAGCGGGGACCACCCCGUAAGGCUAAAUACUACUCAGUGACCGAUAGAGCAUAGUACUGUGAAGGAAAGGUGAAAAGGACCCCGGGAGGGGAGUGAAAGAGAACCUGAAACCCUGUGUUUACAAGCUGUGGAAGUACUUUAUAUGUACGACCGCGUACUUUUUGUAGAACGGUCCGGCGAGCUGCGGAUGCUGGCGAGGUUAAGCACUGAAGGUGCGGAGCCGAAGGGAAACCAUGUCUGAACAGGGCGUCAACAUCUCCUAUGGAGAUGCAGUCAGUAUACGCAGACCCGAAACCGGGUGAUCUAUCCAUGUCCAGGAUGAAGUUGCCGUAAAAGGCAGUGGAGGUCCGAACGCACAUCCGUUGAAAAGGGUGGCGAUGAGGUGUGGAUAGGGGAGAAAUUCCAAUCGAACCCGGAGAUAGCUGGUUCUCCUCGAAAUAGCUUUAGGGCUAGCCUCGUGAGAGUCAGGCGGAGGUAGAGCACUGAAUACCCGAGGGGGCGUCAAAGCUUACCAAAGGUUAUCAAACUCCGAAUGCCGCGCUGAUGCUUCACGGGAGUCAGACUACACGAGAUAAGUUGGGUGGUCAAAAGGGAAACAGCCCAGACCUGCAGCUAAGGUCCCAAAGUGCGUGUUAAGUGGAAAAGGAUGUGGGAUUUCGAAGACAACCAGGAUGUUGGCUCAGAAGCAGCCACACAUUCAAAGAGUGCGUAAUAGCUCACUGGUCGAGAGGUCCUGCGCCGAAAAUGUCCGGGGCUCAAACACGCCACCGAAGCUCAGGAAUGUAUGUAAAUACAUUGGUAGAGGAGCAUUGUCAGUGCACUGAAGCUGUACCGGUAAGGAGCAGUGGAGCGCUGAGAAGAGAGAAUGCCGGAAUGAGUAGCGAGAAAGAGGUGAGAAUCCUCUUGGCCGAAUAUCCAAGGAUUCCGGGGUAAAGCUGAUCUGCCCCGGGUAAGUCGGGACCUAAGGCGAGGCAGAAAUGCGUAGCCGAUGGACAGCAGGUGGAGAUUCCUGCACUGCCAUAUAUCAGAAAUGUGGGGACGCAUCAGGAAAGUGUGGGCCGGGAAAGGAAAGACCGGUGCAAGCGGAGGAGGGGACAUGCAGGCAAAUCCGCAUGUCAACCCAAGAGCGUUAUGCGGAGCGAAGAAUAGUAGCGAAGCACACGGACAGGGUGCCGAGAAAAGCCGCUAUCGUGUAUAUGGUACCCGUACCGUAAACCGACACAGGUGGAUGAGGAGAGAAUCCUAAGGCCGGCGGGAGAAGCAUUGUUAAGGAACUCGGCAAAAUGACCCCGUAACUUCGGGAGAAGGGGUGCCACAGAGAUGUGGCCGCAGAGAAUAGGCUCAAGCAACUGUUUAGCAAAAACACAGGUCUAUGCGAAACCGAAAGGUGAGGUAUAUGGGCUGACGCCUGCCCGGUGCUGGAAGGUUAAGAGGAGAGGUCAGGAAACGAAGCCUUGAAUUGAAGCCCCAGUAAACGGCGGCCGUAACUAUAACGGUCCUAAGGUAGCGAAAUUCCUUGUCGGGUAAGUUCCGACCCGCACGAAAGGCGUAAUGAUUUGAGCGCUGUCUCGACAAUGCAUCCGGUGAAAUUGAAGUACCAGUGAAGAUGCUGGUUACCCGCGCCAGGACGGAAAGACCCCAUGGAGCUUUACUCCAGCUUGAUACUGGGAUCCGGUGUCCAAUGUACAGGAUAGGUGGGAGGCUGAGAGCCAUGAACGCAAGUUUAUGGGGAGCCGCUGUUGGGAUACCACCCUUUGGGUACUGGAUUUCUAACCUGCGCCCGUGACCCGGGCGGGGGACAAUGUCUGGCGGGGAGUUUGACUGGGGCGGUCGCCUCCGAAAGGGUAUCGGAGGCGCUCAAAGGU
RNAcentral lists this ribosomal RNA (2301 nucleotides) under human metagenome. RNAcentral describes it as "bacterial LSU rRNA". It matches the Rfam family "Bacterial large subunit ribosomal RNA", at positions 1 to 2317 of the family's 2925-position model. The record is from RNAcentral.